This 631-nucleotide ribosomal RNA is filed under the name Saccharomyces eubayanus x Saccharomyces uvarum. RNAcentral describes it as "LSU rRNA". It matches the Rfam family "Eukaryotic large subunit ribosomal RNA", at positions 1 to 630 of the family's 3401-position model. Lineage: Eukaryota; Fungi; Ascomycota; Saccharomycetes; Saccharomycetales; Saccharomycetaceae. The record is from RNAcentral.
UGUUCUUAAAGUUUGACCUCAAAUCAGGUAGGAGUACCCGCUGAACUUAAGCAUAUCAAUAAGCGGAGGAAAAGAAACCAACCGGGAUUGCCUUAGUAACGGCGAGUGAAGCGGCAAAAGCUCAAAUUUGAAAUCUGGUACCUUUGGUGCCCGAGUUGUAAUUUGGAGAGGGCAACUUUGGGACCGUUCCUUGUCUAUGUUCCUUGGAACAGGACGUCAUAGAGGGUGAGAAUCCCGUGUGGCGAGGAGUGCGGUUCUAUGUAAAGUGCCUUCGAAGAGUCGAGUUGUUUGGGAAUGCAGCUCUAAGUGGGUGGUAAAUUCCAUCUAAAGCUAAAUAUUGGCGAGAGACCGAUAGCGAACAAGUACAGUGAUGGAAAGAUGAAAAGAACUUUGAAAAGAGAGUGAAAAAGUACGUGAAAUUGUUGAAAGGGAAGGGCAUUUGAUCAGACAUGGUGUUUUGCGCCCUCUGCUCCUUGUGGGUGGGGGAAUCUCGCAGUUCACUGGGCCAGCAUCAGUUUUGGUGGCAGGAUAAAUCCGUAGGAAUGUAACUUGCUUCGGGAAGUAUUAUAGCCUAUGGGAAUACUGCCAGCUGGGACUGAGGACUGCGACGUAAGUCAAGGAUGGCUGGCAU